ACGGCUGAGGAACACGUGGGUAUCUGCCCUGCAGUGGGGGACAACGAGCCGAAAGGUUCGCUAAACCCGCAUACGCUCUCUUCGGAGAGGAAAGCGGUGACGCGCUGGAGGAGGAGCCUGCGGCCCAUCAGGUAGUUGGCGGGGUAAUAGCCCACCAAGCCGGUGACGGGUCCCUGGUCUGAGAGGACGACCAGGCAGACUGGAACUGAGACACGGCCCAGACUCCUACGGGAGGCAGCAGCAAGGAAUUUUCGGCAAUGGGCGCAAGCCUGACCGAGCAACGUCGCGUGGAGGAUGACGGCCUUCGGGUUGUAAACUCCUUUUGCGAGGGACGAUGAUGACGGUACCUCGCGAAUAAGCCCCGGCUAACUCCGUGCCAGCAGCCGCGGUAAGACGGAGGGGGCAAGCGUUGUCCGGACUCACUGGGCGUAAAGGGUGCGUAGGCGGUCGGGAACGUCCGCGCUGAAAUCUGUCGGCUCAACCGGCAGGCGCGUGUGGAUACGGCUCGACUCGAGGCUCUGAGAGGGUGGCGGAACUCCUGGUGUAGUGGUGAAAUGCGUAGA
RNAcentral lists this ribosomal RNA (563 nucleotides) under uncultured bacterium. Its description in RNAcentral is "bacterial SSU rRNA". It matches the Rfam family "Bacterial small subunit ribosomal RNA", at positions 102 to 694 of the family's 1533-position model. The record is from RNAcentral.